Molecule: ribosomal RNA, 370 nt
Filed under: uncultured eukaryote
Lineage: Eukaryota
Description: partial 18S ribosomal RNA
Rfam family: Eukaryotic small subunit ribosomal RNA
Source: RNAcentral
CAAUAGCGUAUAUUUAAGUUGUUGCAGUUAAAAAGCUCGUAGUUGGACCUUGGACCUGGACAGGCGGUCCGCCUCACGGCGUGUACUGUCUUGCUGGGUCUUUCCUCUUGGUGAUCUGUUGUUUCGGCAGCAGGGAACCAGGACUUUUACUUUGAAAAAAUUAGAGUGUUCAAAGCAGGCUCGACGCCGGAAUAUAUUAGCAUGGAAUAAUAAAAUAGGACGUGCGGUUCUAUUUUGUUGGUUUUUGGAAUCGCCGUAAUGAUUAAUAGGGACAGUCGGGGGCAUUAGUACUCACAUGCUAGAGGUGAAAUUCUUGGAUUUUGUGAAGACUAACUUCUGCGAAAGCAUUUGCCAAGGAUGUUUUCAUUAA